AGUGAACGCUGGCGGUAGGCCUAACACAUGCAAGUCGAACGGCAGCACAGUAAGAGCUUGCUCUUACGGGUGGCGAGUGGCGGACGGGUGGGGAAUACAUCGGAAUCUACUUUUUCGUGGGGGAUAACGUAGGGAAACUUACGCUAAUACCGCAUACGACCUACGGGUGAAAGCAGGGGAUCUUCGGACCUUGCGCGAUUGAAUGAGCCGAUGUCGGAUUAGCUAGUUGGCGGGGUAAAGGCCCACCAAGGCGACGAUCCGUAGCUGGUCUGAGAGGUUGAUCAGCCACACUGGAACUGAGACACGGUCCAGACUCCUACGGGAGGCAGCAGUGGGGAAUAUUGGACAAUGGGCGCAAGCCUGAUCCAGCCAUACCGCGUGGGUGAAGAAGGCCUUCGGGUUGUAAAGCCCUUUUGUUGGGAAAGAAAAGCAGCAGGUUAAUACCCCGCUGUUCUGACGGUACCCAAAGAAUAAGCACCGGCUAACUUCGUG
RNAcentral lists this ribosomal RNA (492 nucleotides) under uncultured bacterium. Its description in RNAcentral is "partial 16S ribosomal RNA". It matches the Rfam family "Bacterial small subunit ribosomal RNA", at positions 29 to 507 of the family's 1533-position model. The record is from RNAcentral.